ACGAUCCAAGAUUAAGCCAUGCAUGUCUAAGUAUAAACUUUUAUACGGUGAAACUGCCAAUGGCUCAUUAAAACAGUUAUAGUUUAUUUGAUGGUCAUUUUUACAUGGAUAACCAUGGUAAUUCUAUGGCUAAUACAUGCGCAAAGGCUUCCUUCUUUGAAGGGGCUGUGUUUAUUAAAUACAAAACCAACCCACCUUGUGGAGUCUUGGUGAUUCAUAGUAACCGAACGGAUCGCAGUUGGCUUUCGGGCCCGCGAUGGAUCAUUCAAGUUUCUGACCUAUCACCUUUCAACGGUAGGGUAUUGGCCUACCGUGGCAGUGACGGGUAACGGGGAAUUUUGGUUCUAUUU
Molecule: ribosomal RNA, 350 nt
Filed under: Eimeria brunetti
Lineage: Eukaryota; Apicomplexa; Conoidasida; Eucoccidiorida; Eimeriidae
Description: SSU rRNA
Rfam family: Eukaryotic small subunit ribosomal RNA
Source: RNAcentral